UAUACAUGAAUAUAGGUUUCUCGUAUAUGUGCAGGAAUCGGCCUGCAUGUCUCUACCCGAUCACCGGAAUGAUCGGACUACGGGAUGAACGAUAUGUUUC
Molecule: non-coding RNA, 100 nt
Filed under: Paenibacillus rhizosphaerae
Lineage: Bacteria; Bacillati; Bacillota; Bacilli; Caryophanales; Paenibacillaceae
Description: Guanine sequence
Rfam family: Purine riboswitch aptamer
About the family: Riboswitches are metabolite binding domains within certain messenger RNAs that serve as precision sensors for their corresponding targets. Allosteric rearrangement of mRNA structure is mediated by ligand binding, and this results in modulation of gene expression.
Source: Rfam by way of RNAcentral